CGUUAGAUUAGCUAGUUGGUAAGGUAAUGGCUUACCAAGGCUUUGAUCUAUAGCUGGUCUGAGAGGAUGAUCAGCCACACUGGAACUGAGAUACGGUCCAGACUCCUACGGGAGGCAGCAGUGGGGAAUAUUGGACAAUGGGCGCAAGCCUGAUCCAGCUAUGCCGCAUGAGUGAUGAAGGCCUUCGGGUUGUAAAACUCUUUCAAUAGGGAAGAUAAUGACGGUAC
This 227-nucleotide ribosomal RNA is filed under the name uncultured Ehrlichia sp. RNAcentral describes it as "partial 16S ribosomal RNA". It matches the Rfam family "Bacterial small subunit ribosomal RNA", at positions 234 to 478 of the family's 1533-position model. Lineage: Bacteria; Pseudomonadati; Pseudomonadota; Alphaproteobacteria; Rickettsiales; Anaplasmataceae. The record is from RNAcentral.